AUUGAACGCUGGCGGCAUGCCUUACACAUGCAAGUCGAACGGCAGCACGGGAGCAAUCCUGGUGGCGAGUGGCGAACGGGUGAGUAAUACAUCGGAACGUGCCCAGUAGUGGGGGAUAACCCGGCGAAAGCCGGACUAAUACCGCAUACGACCUACGGGUGAAAGCAGGGGAUCGCAAGACCUUGCGCUAUUGGAGCGGCCGAUGUCAGAUUAGCUUGUUGGNGGGGUAAAAGCCACCAAGGCAACGAUCUGUAGCUGGUCUGAGAGGACGACCAGCCACACUGGGACUGAGACACGGCCCAGACUCCUACGGGAGGCAGCAGUGGGGAAUUUGGACAAUGGGCGCAAGCCUGAUCCAGCCAUGCCGCGUGCGGGAAGAAGGCCU
RNAcentral lists this ribosomal RNA (385 nucleotides) under uncultured bacterium. RNAcentral describes it as "bacterial SSU rRNA". It matches the Rfam family "Bacterial small subunit ribosomal RNA", at positions 29 to 417 of the family's 1533-position model. The record is from RNAcentral.